This 65-nucleotide non-coding RNA is filed under the name Acinetobacter sp. RUH 2624. Its description in RNAcentral is "Acinetobacter sp. RUH2624 int-alpA RNA". It matches the Rfam family "int-alpA RNA". Rfam says of the family: Acidobacteria (1 example), Planctomycetes (1 example), Proteobacteria. Environment (Lake Washington) Lineage: Bacteria; Pseudomonadati; Pseudomonadota; Gammaproteobacteria; Moraxellales; Moraxellaceae. The record is from Rfam by way of RNAcentral.
GCUAAGCCUAGCUCGACGGAGCGAAAGUCGGAUACCCAAUCUGAUUGGCUUAGCUCCUAUUUGGG